This 438-nucleotide small RNA is filed under the name Arabidopsis thaliana (thale cress). Its description in RNAcentral is "ATSL220980". Lineage: Eukaryota; Viridiplantae; Streptophyta; Magnoliopsida; Brassicales; Brassicaceae. The record is from RNAcentral.
AAAAGCUAAAAAAAAUAUAAGGGUAUCUCACUACGUAUGACACUUAUCAAGUUUGUUAGAGCAUAUGGGGCACAUAUGUGGGAGUAUGCACUUUUUCAUGUUUAUUUCACUGCACUUUUUCAUGUUUAUUUCACUGUUUCAAAACAAUCAAUACAAUUAUAUCCUUACUCUCGUAACCUCAGGUCAAAUAGCAUGGUUAAGAAAUGCCUUUGACGAAUGAUUUAGCUGUGCAGCAAUAUAUAGUACUUUGAACUGCUCUAAUGGGAGUGGAUUGUGGAUUUUCCUUUCUUCUGUUUCUUAAUCUUGACAUUAGAUUUCCACUCCACCCCAUCUUCGUCUAGUACCUUAUAAGUCGUUCCAGCAAUGUAGAAGGUGACUUUCUUCUCUUCAAGGUACCUCACAAAACGUUUAGCAAACUCAAUGGGUGUUGAAUGGCUU